RNAcentral lists this ribosomal RNA (468 nucleotides) under uncultured bacterium. Its description in RNAcentral is "partial 16S ribosomal RNA". It matches the Rfam family "Bacterial small subunit ribosomal RNA", at positions 28 to 507 of the family's 1533-position model. The record is from RNAcentral.
GAUGAACGCUGGCGGCGUGCUUAACACAUGCAAGUCGAACGGAAAGGCCGAAGCUUGCUUCGGUACUCGAGUGGCGAACGGGUGAGUAACACGUGGGUGAUCUGCCCUGUACUUCGGGAUAAGCUUGGGAAACUGGGUCUAAUACCGGAUAUGACGAUCUCUUGGAUGGGGUUGUGGAAAGCUUUUGCGGUAUGGGAUGAGCUCGCGGCCUAUCAGCUUGUUGGUGGGGUAAUGGCCUACCAAGGCGUCGACGGGUAGCCAGCCUGAGAGGGUGUACGGCCACAUUGGGACUGAGAUACGGCCCAGACUCCUACGGGAGGCAGCAGUGGGGAAUAUUGCACAAUGGGCGCAAGCCUGAUGCAGCGACGCCGCGUGGGGGAUGACGGCCUUCGGGUUGUAAACUCCUUUCGCAAUCGACGAAGCCUUUUGGUGACGGUAGGUUGAGAAGAAGCACCGGCUAACUACGUG